GAUGAACGCUGGCGGCGUGCUUAACACAUGCAAGUCGAACGGGAAACCUUUUAUUGAAGCUUCGGCAGAUUUAGAUUGUUUCUAGUGGCGGACGGGUGAGUAACGCGUGGGUAACCUGCCUUAUACAGGGGGAUAACAGUCAGAAAUGACUGCUAAUACCGCAUAAGCGCACAGAGCUGCAUGGCUCAGUGUGAAAAACUCCGGUGGUAUAAGAUGGACCCGCGUUGGAUUAGCUGGUUGGUGAGGUAACGGCCCACCAAGGCGACGAUCCAUAGCCGGCCUGAGAGGGUGAACGGCCACAUUGGGACUGAGACACGGCCCAGACUCCUACGGGAGGCAGCAGUGGGGAAUAUUGCACAAUGGGGGAAACCCUGAUGCAGCGACGCCGCGUGAAGGAAGAAGUAUCUCGGUAUGUAAACUUCUAUCAGCAGGGAAGAAAAUGACGGUACCUGACUAAGAAGCCCCGGCUA
RNAcentral lists this ribosomal RNA (470 nucleotides) under uncultured bacterium. Its description in RNAcentral is "bacterial SSU rRNA". It matches the Rfam family "Bacterial small subunit ribosomal RNA", at positions 28 to 499 of the family's 1533-position model. The record is from RNAcentral.